AGAGUUUGAUCAUGGCUCAGAUUGAACGCUGGCGGCAGGCCUAACACAUGCAAGUCGAACGGUAACAGGAAGCAGCUUGCUGCUUUGCUGACGAGUGGCGGACGGGUGAGUAAUGUCUGGGAAACUGCCCGAUGGAGGGGGAUAACUACUGGAAACGGUAGCUAAUACCGCAUAACGUCGCAAGACCAAAGAGGGGGACCUUCGGGCCUCUUGCCAUCGGAUGUGCCCAGAUGGGAUUAGCUAGUAGGUGGGGUAACGGCUCACCUAGGCGACGAUCCCUAGCUGGUCUGAGAGGAUGACCAGCCACACUGGAACUGAGACACGGUCCAGACUCCUACGGGAGGCAGCAGUGGGGAAUAUUGCACAAUGGGCGCAAGCCUGAUGCAGCCAUGCCGCGUGUAUGAAGAAGGCCUUCGGGUUGUAAAGUACUUUCAGCGGGGAGGAAGGGAGUAAAGUUAAUACCUUUGCUCAUUGACGUUACCCGCAGAAAAAG
This 493-nucleotide ribosomal RNA is filed under the name Escherichia coli. Its description in RNAcentral is "bacterial SSU rRNA". It matches the Rfam family "Bacterial small subunit ribosomal RNA", at positions 8 to 490 of the family's 1533-position model. The record is from RNAcentral. Lineage: Bacteria; Pseudomonadati; Pseudomonadota; Gammaproteobacteria; Enterobacterales; Enterobacteriaceae.